This 218-nucleotide ribosomal RNA is filed under the name uncultured bacterium. RNAcentral describes it as "partial 16S ribosomal RNA". It matches the Rfam family "Bacterial small subunit ribosomal RNA", at positions 316 to 525 of the family's 1533-position model. The record is from RNAcentral.
GAACUGAGACACGGUCCAAGAUUCCUACGGGAGGCAGCAGUGGGGAAUAUUGCACAAUGGGCGCAAGCCUGAUGCAGCCAUGCCGCGUGUAUGAAGAAGGCCUUCGGGUUGUAAAGUACUUUCAGUCGUGAGGAAGGCGGCGUCGUUAAUAGCGGCGUUGUUUGACGUUAGCGACAGAAGAAGCACCGGCUAACUCCGUGCCAGCAGCCGCGGUAAUA